Molecule: ribosomal RNA, 221 nt
Filed under: uncultured bacterium
Lineage: Bacteria
Description: partial 16S ribosomal RNA
Rfam family: Bacterial small subunit ribosomal RNA
Source: RNAcentral
UACGUAGGGCGCAAGCGUUAUCCGGAAUUAUUGGGCGUAAAGAGCUCGUAGGCGGUUCGGCAAGUCGGAUGUGAAAUCUCCACGCUUAACGUGGAGGGCCAUUCGAAACUGCUGUGACUCGAGUCCGGUAGGGGAGUGUGGAAUUCCCGGUGUAGCGGUGAAAUGCGCAGAUAUCGGGAGGAACACCAAUGGCGAAGGCAGCUCGCUGGACGUGACUGACG